Zea mays is the source of this 1285-nucleotide long non-coding RNA. RefSeq lists it as uncharacterized. The record is from RefSeq and is a predicted model, not a curated record. The transcript has 6 exons. Lineage: Eukaryota; Viridiplantae; Streptophyta; Magnoliopsida; Poales; Poaceae.
UGCACGCACCCCCACCCCAAUCCCCGCCUCAGCGCCGCUCCCCCGCCCCCACCCCCGUCCUCGCCGCCCCGCUCCACGCUCGCGUGGCGUCGUCAUCGCUGCGCUCUGCGCCCGCUCCGCCCCCACCCCCACACGCGCACACACACCUCACCCCGCGUCGUCAUCCACAGCCCCUACAUCGCCACCAUGGACUCGGGGUUGAACUGGUAGCCCGAGGGCUCGGGAGGUGCCGCCGGCGGCGGAGGAUGAGGCAGGCAGGGCGAGGGCGGCGACGCCGGAAGCUCCUGGAAAUGGCUGCGCGCGCGGUGGUGGUGAGACCGCUGGUCCGUGCCGGGAAGCGAGAGGCUGAGCAAGGUGAGCGGGUCCUCCUCCUGCGGACGGCUCAUGGCAGUCUGCCGGCUCGAACCCGCCGGAGCGCGCCACAGGGCGGUAAAUCUGGCCGGACCCGGAGCCGGCGCCGUGGCUGCUGAGGUCGCUACGGUGUAUGGUUGGACCCCGACCACGACCCCGAUAGGCUGUCGGGCGAGAGGCUCAUCAUCAGCUUGCCCGGGCGCGCCUCGGUCUCGGUGGCGUCAGUGGGAACCGGCGAACCGGACACGACGGCCCACCGCCUCCCUCUGCUUCCUCCCGUCGAAGCCCUCCACCUCUGACACGGCGACCGACCACUCCUCCGACUCCGACUUUGCCACCACGAACAGCAACGAGGACACUGCCAUCCUCGGCAUGACGGGCGACGGGGCAUUCGCAAUCUCCUUCGCCGAUUGCUUCACCGCCAGCGCCAGCGCAGCAUUGUUCGUAGAGAAGAGGAUGGUUCAUGGUAGCAAAAGUAUGGCGGUACCAGAACAAGGGAUUCCCCCUAAUGUUGUUGAGGAUGGGGAACCCUUCCGGCACACCAGUGUGGGCACUUACAGAGGAGCAGAUGUUCUUUAGAGGCAUGUUGUGUUGUACUCUUCCACCCACUCUCUGCCAGUCUCUACACAGGUUGUGGUGGAAAACACUCGUGUGGGAUCUAGCUGGCUCUUGUGCAAUUGGUAUGCCACAGCUGCUCUUCUCACCGUGUGAGGACGAGCACAGUAAAAGCUAAGCAUUUCUUGAUUCAUCCUCCCAGCUUCGUUAAUUACUAUCAAUGAUGUUGCUGCAUAUUUCUUUGGCAUCUUCUUUGGGAAAACACCGCUGAUCAAGCUCUCUCCAAAGAAAACGUGGGAAGGCUUUAUAGGUGCAUCAAUGACAACAUUGCUUUCUGCAUUUGUGCUACUCCUGCUGAAAAUGUACUAACUGAAAUUUA